CCGCAUGGGGAUAUUUGCUAAAGAUUCAUCGCUGAUAGAUAGGCAUGCGUUCCAUUAGGCAGUUGGCGGGGUAACGGCCCACCAAACCAACGAUGGAUAGGGGUUCUGAGAGGAAGGUCCCCCACAUUGGUACUGAGACACGGACCAAACUCCUACGGGAGGCAGCAGUGAGGAAUAUUGGUCAAUGGGCGUAAGCCUGAACCAGCCAAGUCGCGUGAGGGAUGAAGGUUCUAUGGAUCGUAAACCUCUUUUAUAAGGGAAUAAAGUGUGGGACGUGUCCUAUUUUGUAUGUACCUUAUGAAUAAGGAUCGGCUAACUCCGUGCCAGCAGCCGCGGUAAUACGGAGGAUCCGAGCGUUAUCCGGAUUUAUUGGGUUUAAAGGGUGCGUAGGCGGCCUUUUAAGUCAGCGGUGAAAGUCUGUGGCUCAACCAUAGAAUUGCCGUUGAAACUGGGGGGCUUGAGUAUGUUUGAGGCAGGCGGAAUGCGUGGUGUAGCGGUGAAAUGCUUAGAUAUCACGCAGAACCCCGAUUGCGAAGGCAGCCUGCCAAGCCAUGACUGACGCUGAUGCACGAAAGCGUGGGGAUCAAACAGGAUUAGAUACCCUGGUAGUCCACGCAGUAAACGAUGAUCACUAGCUGUUUGCGAUACAGUGUAAGCGGCACA
This 663-nucleotide ribosomal RNA is filed under the name uncultured bacterium. Its description in RNAcentral is "bacterial SSU rRNA". It matches the Rfam family "Bacterial small subunit ribosomal RNA", at positions 186 to 850 of the family's 1533-position model. The record is from RNAcentral.